RNAcentral lists this ribosomal RNA (293 nucleotides) under uncultured prokaryote. Its description in RNAcentral is "partial 16S ribosomal RNA". It matches the Rfam family "Archaeal small subunit ribosomal RNA", at positions 455 to 747 of the family's 1478-position model. The record is from RNAcentral.
GUGUCAGCAGCCGCGGUAAUACCGGCAGCACGAGUGAUGACCGCUAUUAUUGGGCCUAAAGCGUCCGUAGCUGGCCGUGCAAGUCCAUCGGGAAAUCCGCGCGCUUAACGCGCGGGCGUCCGGUGGAAACUGCAUGGCUUGGGACCGGAAGACCAGAGGGGUACGUCCGGGGUAGGAGUGAAUUCCCGUAAUCCUGGACGGACCACCGGUGGCGAAAGCGCCUCUGGAAGACGGAUACGACGGUGAGGGACGAAAGCUCGGGUCACGAACCGGAUUAGAUACCCCUGUAGUCC